This 259-nucleotide small RNA is filed under the name Otolemur garnettii (small-eared galago). RNAcentral's name for it is "Metazoan signal recognition particle RNA (ENSOGAG00000025856.1)". Lineage: Eukaryota; Metazoa; Chordata; Mammalia; Primates; Galagidae. The record is from RNAcentral.
GCCAGGCGUUGUGGCGGGCGCCUGUAGUCCCAGCUACUUGGGAGGCUGAGGCAGGAGACUCGCUUGAGCCCAGGAGUUGGAGGUUGCUGUGAGCGUGAUGCCAUGGCACUCUACCCAGGGGGAUAGCUUGAGGCUCCGUCUCAAAAAAAAAAAAAAAAAAAAAAGAGACAGAGUCUCAGUUUGUUGCCCUUGGUAGAGUGCCAUGAGUGUCACAGCUCACAGCAACCUCCAGCUCUUGGGCUUAGGUAAUUCUCUUGCC